AGAGUUUGAUCAUGGCUCAGGAUGAACGCUAGCGGCAGGCUUAAUACAUGCAAGUCGUGGGGCAGCAUGUCCCGCAGCAAUGCGGGAUGAUGGCGACCGGCAAACGGGUGCGGAACACGUACACAACCUUCCUUUUAGUGGGGAAUAGCCCGGGGAAGCCCGGAUUAAUACCCCGUAAUAUAAUGAAGUGGCAUCACUUUAUUAUUAUAGCAGCAAUGCGCUUAAAGAUGGGUGUGCGACUGAUUAGGCAGUUGGCGGGGUAACGGCCCACCAAACCUACGAUCAGUAACUGGUGUGAGAGCACGACCAGUCACACGGGCACUGAGACACGGGCCCGACUCCUACGGGAGGCAGCAGUAAGGAAUAUUGGUCAAUGGACGCAAGUCUGAACCAGCCAUGCCGCGUGGAGGAUGAAGGUCCUCUGGAUUGUAAACUUCUUUUAUCUGGGAAGAAAUCCACGAAUUCUUUUGUGGUUGACGGUACCAGAUGAAUAAGCACCGGCUAACUCCGUGCCAGCAGCCGCGGUAAUACGGAGGGUGCAAGCGUUAUCCGGAUUCACUGGGUUUAAAGGGUGCGUAGGUGGGCAGGUAAGUCAGUGGUGAAAUCUCCGGGCUUAACUCGGAAACUGCCAUUGAUACUAUCUGUCUUGAAUACCGUGGAGGUCAGCGGAAUAUGUCAUGUAGCGGUGAAAUGCUUAGAUAUGACAUAGAACACCAAUUGCGAAGGCAGCUGGCUACACGAAUAUUGACACUGAUGCACGAAAGCGUGGGGAUCAAACAGGAUUAGAUACCCUAGUAGUCC
This 801-nucleotide ribosomal RNA is filed under the name uncultured bacterium. RNAcentral describes it as "bacterial SSU rRNA". It matches the Rfam family "Bacterial small subunit ribosomal RNA", at positions 8 to 796 of the family's 1533-position model. The record is from RNAcentral.